GAUGAACGCUGGCGGCGUGCCUAAUACAUGCAAGUCGAGCGAACGGACGAGAAGCUUGCUUCUCUGAUGUUAGCGGCGGACGGGUGAGUAACACGUGGAUAACCUACCUAUAAGACUGGGAUAACUUCGGGAAACCGGAGCUAAUACCGGAUGAUAUUUUGAACCGCAUGGUUCAAAAGUGAAAGACGGUCUUGCUGUCACUUAUAGAUGGAUCCGCGCUGCAUUAGCUAGUUGGUAAGGUAACGGCUUACCAAGGCAACGAUGCAUAGCCGACCUGAGAGGGUGGCGGACCACAAGGGACCGGAACCCGGGACCGGCUCCCGAGGGGGGGAAGAAGGAGGGAUUCUUCAGCAAGGGCCGAAGGCCGGAGGGAGCACCCCGGGGUGAUGAAGAAGGGUUUUGGAAUCUAAAAACUCUUUUAUAGGGAAAAAACAUUUGUGAAAGAACUGGGGCACAUCUGCACGGUCCCUAAUAAGAAACCCACGCCAAACUCCGGC
RNAcentral lists this ribosomal RNA (497 nucleotides) under uncultured bacterium. Its description in RNAcentral is "partial 16S ribosomal RNA". It matches the Rfam family "Bacterial small subunit ribosomal RNA", at positions 28 to 508 of the family's 1533-position model. The record is from RNAcentral.